RNAcentral lists this long non-coding RNA (211 nucleotides) under Elaeis guineensis (African oil palm). RNAcentral's name for it is "long non-coding RNA (EGUI_LNC044114)". Lineage: Eukaryota; Viridiplantae; Streptophyta; Magnoliopsida; Arecales; Arecaceae. The record is from RNAcentral.
UGGCUGACCAAGGCUUGGGCAUGUGGAUUAAGGAAGUAGAGGAGGAAAGGGGCAGCACUCAAAAGAUUCAAUGAAUUCUAUUGUUCUCUUUCCACGCCCAAGAGGACCCCUCCUUUUAUAGAUGGUGGCCAAGAGAAUUAAAUAGUGUUCAACUAAAUUUGAACUCUUAUCUAAUAAGAACUUCAACUUCAAACUGAACUUAUCUAAUCCC